GACGAACGCUGGCGGCGUGCUUAACACAUGCGAGUCGAACGGAAAGGCCCUGCUUUUGUGGGGUGCUCGAGUGGCGAACGGGUGAGUAACACGUGAGUAACCUGCCCUUGACUUUGGGGUAACUUCAGGAAACUGGGGCUAAUACCGGAUAGGAGCUCCUGCUGCAUGGUGGGGGUUGGAAAGUUUCGGCGGUUGGGGAUGGACUCGCGGCUUAUCAGCUUGUUGGUGGGGUAGUGGCUUACCAAGGCUUUGACGGGUAGCCGGCCUGAGAGGGUGACCGGCCACAUUGGGACUGAGAUACGGCCCAGACUCCUACGGGAGGCAGCAGUGGGGAAUAUUGCACAAUGGGCGGAAGCCUGAUGCAGCAACGCCGCGUGCGGGAUGACGGCCUUCGGGUUGUAAACCGCUUUCGCCUGUGACGAAGCGUGAGUGACGGUAAUGGGUAAAGAAGCACCGGCUAACUACGUG
Molecule: ribosomal RNA, 468 nt
Filed under: uncultured bacterium
Lineage: Bacteria
Description: partial 16S ribosomal RNA
Rfam family: Bacterial small subunit ribosomal RNA
Source: RNAcentral